RNAcentral lists this transfer RNA (85 nucleotides) under Candidatus Zapsychrus exili. RNAcentral's name for it is "tRNA-Ser". It matches the Rfam family "tRNA". From Rfam's summary of the family: Transfer RNA (tRNA) molecules are approximately 80 nucleotides in length. Lineage: Bacteria; Pseudomonadati; Candidatus Omnitrophota. The record is from RNAcentral.
GGAGAGGUGGCAGAGCGGUUGAAUGCGGCGGUCUUGAAAACCGUUGUCCUGCGAGGGACCCUGAGUUCGAAUCUCAGCCUCUCCG